RNAcentral lists this long non-coding RNA (319 nucleotides) under Androctonus crassicauda. Lineage: Eukaryota; Metazoa; Arthropoda; Arachnida; Scorpiones; Buthidae. The record is from RNAcentral.
UCGAUAAAAUGUAAUGUUGAAAAGAUAAUGAAGCAACCAAUAAACCCAGAUAGAGACAACAUAGCCAUACAAGAGACCCCAGAAGAAAAAGAAAAAUAUGCUGCCCUACCGUUCCACCUAAGUAGGAUGCCCAUUGUAAAGAAAAUAGCAAAAACAUCACAAACAAAAUUAGCUCCUAAAAGAGGUCCUACAGUUUUCUCCUACCUAAGGAAUGACAAAGACCACCUAGACGACAGGAAUAAAUCGGACAUAUACACCAUUCCAAUAUACGAUAAGAAAAAGACCCUGAAUAAGGAAUAUAUAAGAGCCACAACACUCC